RNAcentral lists this ribosomal RNA (467 nucleotides) under uncultured Clostridium sp. Its description in RNAcentral is "bacterial SSU rRNA". It matches the Rfam family "Bacterial small subunit ribosomal RNA", at positions 94 to 579 of the family's 1533-position model. The record is from RNAcentral. Lineage: Bacteria; Bacillati; Bacillota; Clostridia; Eubacteriales; Clostridiaceae.
AGCGGCGGACGGGUGAGUAACGCGUGAGUAACCUGCCCCGUAGAGUGGGAUAACACAGUGAAAACUGUGCUAAUACCGCAUAACAUAUAAUAAUCGCAUGGUUAAUAUAUCAAAGAUUUAUCGCUACGGGAUGGACUCGCGUCUGAUUAGCUAGUUGGUGAGGUAACGGCUCACCAAGGCGACGAUCAGUAGCCGAACUGAGAGGUUGAUCGGCCACAUUGGGACUGAGACACGGCCCAGACUCCUACGGGAGGCAGCAGUGGGGAAUAUUGCGCAAUGGGGGCAACCCUGACGCAGCAACGCCGCGUGAAGGAAGAAGGUUUUCGGAUCGUAAACUUUUGUCUUAUGGGAAGAUAGUGACGGUACCAUAGGAGGAAGCCACGGCUAACUACGUGCCAGCAGCCGCGGUAAUACGUAGGUGGCAAGCGUUGUCCGGAAUUACUGGGUGUAAAGGGCGCGUAGACGGG